GUUUCAGUGUUUAAAAGACCAUAUUGUGAUGACUUCAUCAGUUUCAUCAUGGACAAUUCGCUGUAGGAGUUUGGUAUUCUAGAAAAUCACACAAUUUGAAACCAAUUGUCCAGAGUCCUUUCCCAGAUGAAAAGCAAUUGCUUUUUUGUUGGGAUCAAGAAUCUUGUACUAGAACCAGAUUUAAUGCACUUGAGAAUCACAAGAAACCACUCUUUAUUAAAGAGUUAUCCAAAGUGUGGGCAUUCCCUGAAGCGGGAAAGUACAAUGAAAGCAACACUUUGCUUAUGGAUGAUUCUCCGUACAAGGCAGUGAAAAAUCCUGCAAAUACAACAAUAUUUCCUCCCACAUAAACGUACACCGAUGCUAAUGAUUCAACUUUAGGUAAGCUAUGCUCUAAACUAAAUUGACAUGUUGUGAAGACCUAUGGUUUCCAUAUUUAUUUAUUAUUGCACUCGUCUAUAUUUAUUUAUUAUUGCACUUAUCUAAUCUCAAAUACGGUUAAAUAACAGGCCCUACUGGCAAUUUGAGAAAAUAUUUGAAUUCUUUGGCCAAAGCUGAAAAUAUGCAAGACUACGUGAGAAAUAACCCGUUUGGUAAAGAAAUGAACUCGGACAAAAAUUGGGAGUUCUUGAGAAACAAUUUAUAAGGAAGAGGAGGAUCUUGAGCGUAAGGAGGAGGAUGGCGUGACGUUAUUUCAGGUAUGUAGUUGAAAAGAUGGAUGGUGAUCCAUGGGCAAAAGUUCUUGACCCCGAAAAUGAAUUCGGAAGACAGCUCAUUGAUCAUGUUGUAGCUGGUGCUUUGCCUGAAAGCAAGAGCCUGGAACAAGUAUUUGCAGAUGUUAAAACCUUCAUGUCUGCUGACCUCCCUCAUAAACUAAUUGAAUUGCUCAAAAAGAUUGUGAUCCAAAACUCUUCAUUCAGUGGAAACUUUGACCCGCAAAACUUACUUAUCUCGAUAGCCAUUAACGCAGAUCCAUCCAGAGUUAUGGAUUAAAUAGGCAGACUUGAUAAGUUUGAUGUCUUUCUGUUGGGGAAGUGGCUGUGGAAGCUCAAUUGUAUGAAGAGGCUUUUGCUAUUUUAAAGCUCAAUUUGAAUAUCCAGGCCGUCAAUAUGUUACUAGAUAAUAUUCAAGAUAUUAACCUGUGUUUGCAUUCUGUGUUGAAGAAGAUGCAGUUUGGAGUCAGCUUGCUAAAGCUCAACACGGGGAAGGAUUAGUGAGCUAUGCGAUAGAGAGUCAUUUACUCGUGCUAAUGAUGCCACCCAAUUCUUGGAAGUUAUUCGUGUUCCGGAGGACGCAAAUGUUUAUCACGACUUGGUGAAGUUUCUUCUGAUGGUCAAGUACAAAGCAAAGGAGCCCAAGGUGGACAGUGAGCUCGUUUAUGCAUAUGCUAAGAUCGAUAGGCUGGGUGAGAUUGAAGAGUUUAUUCUCAUGCCAAGUGUUGCCAAUCUCCUUAAUGUUGGUGAUCACUUGUACGAUGAAGCUCUAUAUGAGGCAGCUAAGAUUGUUUUUUGCUCUUAUCUCUAAUAACUCAAAAGACAUGGAAAGAAGUCUAUUUUUCCACUUGGCUCAAUUAUGUGGCUCAAUAUCAUUGUACAGUUGUAUUCCCAGACUGUAUUAGUUGAUAUUUUAUGACUUUUUCAUACAAAAUCAAUAACUUAAUCAAUUUGUUUCUUAGCUUUAGCUGCAAAGGGAGUGGAUUGCUAGUCUAUAUUUGCUUAUUUUUGCAUGACCAUUCUA
This is a long non-coding RNA of Olea europaea var. sylvestris, 1737 nucleotides long. RefSeq lists it as uncharacterized. The transcript has 4 exons. Lineage: Eukaryota; Viridiplantae; Streptophyta; Magnoliopsida; Lamiales; Oleaceae. The record is from RefSeq and is a predicted model, not a curated record.